RNAcentral lists this long non-coding RNA (414 nucleotides) under Stegodyphus dumicola. RNAcentral describes it as "uncharacterized LOC118193318". The record is from RNAcentral. Lineage: Eukaryota; Metazoa; Arthropoda; Arachnida; Araneae; Eresidae.
GUAUGUAACCAAUCAAAUCCUGAAAUUACUGACGUCCGGCUGACUCUGACCUCAGUCAUUCUUAAAGAAGAACGAUUCGAAAGACCGGGGUUUGAGGUCAUCAAGAACACCGCUAAAAUUAUUCCAGAUCGAAGGGAAGUAUUGAUGUCUUUGUUUUAUCCGCUCUACUAAAAGUAAAAUGGCAUUUAGCGUUGUACAUUUGCUAAUGACCGAUGAAGUGGCUGUCGUCCAAGCAAAUGAGUGUCAGAUGAUAAAAAGGGACAUGUAACUGGCCUUCGUAUAAAGAAAGAAGUCACAUGAAAAGAGCAAUUCUGGAACACAGAGAACCAGAUACAUCCUGAGAGAAUUUUUAUAUUGUUAUCCUGGGAGAAUAUUGUGCUUUCAAAGAAAAUCGGGCCACCAGAGAGGUACCUU